This 2855-nucleotide long non-coding RNA is filed under the name Homo sapiens (human). RNAcentral's name for it is "HSALNT0140611". The record is from RNAcentral. Lineage: Eukaryota; Metazoa; Chordata; Mammalia; Primates; Hominidae.
ACUAUGAGAGAAUACAGGGUCUAAUCUCCAGUGUACAUGUCAAAAAGGGGAAUGGGCUGCAGCAUCUAGAGAGGAGACCAUCCUGUAGACCCAUCCUGUUGUUUUACAAAGUGUGGGAAACCACUGAUGAGGUAGGUGUGUUUUGGGUGGAGAAGGAAAGGCAGGGUAGAAGAGAGCGGAAUCCAGCCAGGCAGCCCCCAAUGGAAGAAUAUUCAACUCUAGCUCAACGUGGGGAAGGUAAUGACUUUGAUCCUUCCAGUUACCUUUUCUAGAGGGAAUAUGGAAAGAAUCCAGAGUGGACAAGGGCAGCCUCACAUUAGGACCCCAUCCAAUGGGCAUAUCUGUCACUUUCCAGCACACCAGGACUCUAGGGCGCCAGGAUGGGCAUAGCUGUGGCAGAGGUGAGAGGCAGCCUGUGGGAGGCUGUGAGCCCAGGUGGCCACCUGGUCCUUAUAGCCAUGAGGUUUGCAGGCAGUGCCUCAAGCAUCACAGCAGCUGCAGUGCAGGCACCUGGCUGUGGACAACCUCAUGGGGGUGGCGAGCAGGUGGCCCAAGGUGCCAGGGCCAGCAUGGCAUCCGCAGGGUCAGCUAGUCUUCAGUGCUGCCAAGAAGAGUUUAUGAGCUGCCUCUCCUCUGCUACCAGGAAACAGCCUGAUGGGGUGCGUAGGGACUGAAGUUUCCACAAUUAGCUGGAGGAAGAGGAGAUCUUGAGAAACAGUGGUAAUUUCGCUGUAAUUGUAUGUGUGCCACUCCCCGGCCCUGAAGGGCAUGAGCAAGAAAGACUGAAAGUUGUGAAAUGUACCAGGGAAGACACUGCGGUUCUGUGGUGACGGUGAAAAUGAACGUCUCAAAAGCUGGGUGAUGGCUCAGCUGGACCCAGCAUGUUAGCAACCCGUGUUUGAACAGAAGGAAAUGAAAAAUAAAGUAGAAGGACAAGGGAAGGAAAUUGGGAUCUCUUUUCAUGGAGGCACAGAAUGAAAUGAGGUCUCACCAUAUUGCCCAGGCUGGAGUGCAGUGGCUAUUCACAGGCACGAGCACAGCAUGCUACAGUCUCAAGCCUCCCGAGUAGCUAGGACUACAGAGAAAGGGGCUCACUGUGUCACCCAGGCUGGAAUGCAGUGGCACAAUCACAGCUCCCUGCAGCCUCAAACUCCUGGGAUCAAGCAAUCCUCCCCACUGAGCCUCCGGAGUAGCUGGGACUACAGGUGAGUGUGAUCAUGCCGGGCUAAUUUUCUUUUUCUUUUUGUAGAGACAGGGUCUCAUUGUGUUGCCCAGGCUGAUCUUGAACUUCUGGGCUCAAGCGAUCCUCCUGCCCUGGCCUCACAAAGUGCUGGGAUCACAAGCAUGAGCCACUGCGCCCAGCCUGGGAUUUUUUUAAAGGCAGUGAAACUAUUCUGCAUGAUUCUGUGGUGGUGGAUACAUGACAUUAUGCAUUUGCCAAAACCACAGAAGUUCUCCACACUAAGUUCUCCACACUCAAUGCAUGCAAGCAUAUCAGCUGCAGAGCCAUGCCUCAGGGGACCGACCCCAGCCAGAACCCUCUGAAACUCUCUCCACUCCAGUGGCCCCAUGAUGCCUGUGGCCUCCAUCUCCACCUUUGAUUCUCUCCAUGGGCUCCUUUGUCCCAGGCUCACUGUUUAGCCUCUUCUCUGCCUCCUGGGUCUGCUUUAUGAGUGGCCUCAUAUCUGUGGUCCCGUGGCUGCUGUUCACUACCUUCCUUCCGCGGCUCUCAGCUUCUUUUCCUGCUGCUGGCUCCAUCUACCAAGGCAGAUGUGAUUGACUUGGCUGGUCCCUCACCAUGAGCUCCAUCUCGGGGGGCUGGCCAUGCACCUAGACUGGCUUGCCUUUGGCUCAUGUAGAAGCAGGAUGAUGAGAUCCACAGCAAGCCCACCCAUGCCUAAGAGCUUGCUUCUGGUCACCCUUGCACCCUUGGAGGGACAGGCACUUCUCAUGACCUUUACAACCCAGAAUAACAUCCCCCUGGGAAAUGUCCUAACACUACUCCUCGUCUCCCACAACUGAGAGUUCUAUGCUUCUCCUGUCAUGGUAGAGUAGUGCCCUCUUGUCCAAGGUUUUGCUUUCUGCAGUGUCAGUUACCCAUGGUCACCUGCAUCUGAAAGUACUAAAUGGAAAAUCACAGACAUAAAGACUUUGUAAGUUUUAAAUUGCAUGCUGUUCUGAGUUCUGAAAUCUGCCAUUCGCUCUGUCCUACCUGGGACAUGAAUCAUCCUUUCGUCCAGCAUCUCCACGUUGUAGACGUUCCUAUCCCUUAGUCACUUAGUUAGUGACUUAGUCAUCUCAGUUACCGGAUAGAAAAAAUAUAGUAUAUAUAGGGUUUGGAACUAUCCAAGGUUUCAGGCAUCCAUUGGAAGUCUCGGAACAUAUUCCCCAUGGAGAAGGGGGAAUGACUGUGCUUACAAGGCUGUGUUGUUCUUGCUUCUUUUCUUAUUUGUCUCCCUCUCCAGACUGUAAGCCCCUUGUAUUCAUUUACUAAGGCUGCCAUAAAAACAUGCCACAGGCUGGGUAGUCUAAACAGAAAUUUAUUCCUCACAGUUGUGGAAGGUAGAAGUCCAAGAUCAAGGUAUCCCCAGGGUUGAUUUUUUCGAAGGCCUCCCUCCUUGGCUUAUAGAUGGCCAUCUUCGCCAGGUGUCUUCACAUGUGUGCACGUCUCUGGCUUCAUCUCCUCUUCUUAUGACAUCAGUUAUAGUGGAUUAGGGCCCACUCAUAUGAUUUCACCUUAAUCACUUCUUUAAAGGCCCUGUCUCCACAUACGGUCACACUGUGAGGUACUGAGGGUUAGGACCUCAACAAAGGCAAAAACCAGGUGCUAUGAAUUUUUUUUUUUUUUUUUUGAG